Molecule: ribosomal RNA, 484 nt
Filed under: uncultured bacterium
Lineage: Bacteria
Description: partial 16S ribosomal RNA
Rfam family: Bacterial small subunit ribosomal RNA
Source: RNAcentral
AUUGAACGCUGUCGGCAUGCUUUACACAUGCAAGUCGAACGGCAGCGCGGGCUUCGGCCUGGCGGCGAGUGGCGAACGGGUGAGUAAUACAUCGGAACGUGCCCAGUAGCGGGGGAUAGCUCGGCGAAAGCCGGAUUAAUACCGCAUACGACCUGAGGGUGAAAGCGGGGGAUCUUCGGACCUCGCGCUAUUGGAGCGGGCGAUAGCAGAUUAGCUAGUUGGUGGGGUAAAGGCCUACCAAGGCGACGAUCUGUAGCUGGUCUGAGAGGACGACCAGCCACACUGGGACUGAGACACGGCCCAGACUCCUACGGGAGGCAGCAGUGGGGAAUUUUGGACAAUGGGCGAAAGCCUGAUCCAGCAAUGCCGCGUGUGUGAUGAAGGCCUUCGGGUUGUAAAGCACUUUUGGCGGGAACGAAAAGGACUGUGCCAAUACCACGGUUCGAUGACGGUACCCGCAGAAUAAGCACCGGCUAACUACGUG